UACGGAGGGUGCAAGCGUUAUCCGGAUUCACUGGGUUUAAAGGGGGCGUAGGUGGGAAUGUAAGUCAGUGGUGAAAUCUCCGGGCUUAACCCGGAAACUGCCAUUGAUACUAUCGGUCCUGAAUACCGUGGAGGUGAGCGGAAUAUGUCAUGUAGCGGUGAAAUGCUUAGAUAUGACAUAGAACACCAAUUGCGAAGGCAGCUCACUACACGAAUAUUGACACUGAGGCACGAAAGCGUGGGGAGCAAACAGG
Molecule: ribosomal RNA, 253 nt
Filed under: uncultured bacterium
Lineage: Bacteria
Description: partial 16S ribosomal RNA
Rfam family: Bacterial small subunit ribosomal RNA
Source: RNAcentral